AUGUGCCACCGGCGAAAUCGCAGGGCACCGCCUAGCAGAGACACACCAAAAAGCACUCGAGCACGAACAUCGCCAAAGACACAAACCCACCGUCGACCCCCAAGCCGGCCGCAACACCAUCAACAUCAACCACACCCCACCGACAACCGCCACCCACGCAAGCCGGAUGUCACCAAUAGCCAUGGUCUCCAAGAUGAUGCCUCCAAGGAGGUAGCGACGAACUUGACGCCAUCGUCAUCCGAUCUAGCAAAACAAGAUCUUGGGCUUUCGCCCGGAGACACUCUCGAAGGAUUUGGGUGA
RNAcentral lists this ribosomal RNA (300 nucleotides) under Triticum aestivum (bread wheat). Its description in RNAcentral is "partial small subunit ribosomal RNA". Lineage: Eukaryota; Viridiplantae; Streptophyta; Magnoliopsida; Poales; Poaceae. The record is from RNAcentral.